AUGACUCAUGCCUAACACAUUUCAAUAACAGUACUGGCCCCAUUAGACCAACUCCCAGACACAGACCAGAGGAGGAUAGAAUCAAACCUACGUUGUUAAAACUGGUAAUGUAGUACCUUUUCAUACAUUACUCCUCACAGCAGUUUUACCAUAGUGAUUUACUAGCUUGAGGGCUUGCUAUACUGCAGUAUACUGCUCAUGCUAUUAUUCUUUGUUUACACAGCUUAAGUACAGUACAUUUCAGGGAGGCAGUCUCUCACAGCGUCAUACCACCCUGAAGGCUAACGUUACUGCUUACUACACUUUGAAGACCAAGAACAAGAAGAACAUUCUCCCUACAGAAAAUCUCAUCGUCACUUCUCAUCAUUAAAAAAGUUGUUUCGAAGGAUUUCAUACUCUGUUCUGAUUGCAUUCAUUAGCAUCAGCAAUGCUCUCCUGCUUUCAGACAAAAUAAAUGGUGCCUGCCUUGUGCCUCGCUGUUGUUGUUGUCUAUGAACAUUACAAUAACAACAACAAUGAUGUUUGAUUUACUUUAAAUGGCUCCGCUGUUGAUGGGACGCAGUUCCCUUUCCUUCACAACAUGUUGUACAGUAUGAAUGUACCGACAUCAUCACACACAGUAGCACAUUAACUAACAGUGACAGAUGUUGACUCUCAGCUACAUCUUCCUAUUUGUAACAGACAAAUGCAUCUCUUGGAGCUGCUCUACUCCGAGCUUAGCGAUUACCAACCCUGGUCCUGGAGAUCUACAGGGUGUGCAGGCUUUUGUUACAGCCCAAUACUACCACACAGCAAUAGAGAUAGUCAAGGCCCGGCAGUUGAGUAGUUGAGUCAGGCGCGUUAGUGGUGCUGGACUAAAGGACCAAGGCUGAUUGUGAGGUUGUGGGCACAUCCCUCAUUAAAUCUAACCUCUCUCUCUCUCAGGGGGUUUGACCCGAUGACCAAUAUCUGAUGACUGAUACACCGAUACUGAUGGUUAAUACACAAUAGCAACGCUGAGAGGAGGCUGAGAACACAGGACCAGGGAGAAGAGAGUUGUGGUAGAUUGUUGGCAGAGCUGGAGGAAUAGUUGGCCAAGAGACUGCUGACCACCUGUUACGCGAGUGCAGCAUCAAAAGAACCU
This is a long non-coding RNA of Salmo salar (Atlantic salmon), 1123 nucleotides long. RefSeq lists it as uncharacterized. The record is from RefSeq and is a predicted model, not a curated record. NCBI's taxonomy places the organism in Eukaryota, Metazoa, Chordata, Actinopteri, Salmoniformes, Salmonidae.